Molecule: long non-coding RNA, 1745 nt
Filed under: Citrus sinensis (sweet orange)
Lineage: Eukaryota; Viridiplantae; Streptophyta; Magnoliopsida; Sapindales; Rutaceae
Description: long non-coding RNA (CSIN_LNC001991)
Source: RNAcentral
AAAUUUUCAGCCGCCAAUCAAAAGAACUACAUAUUCCAGGCAGCUUGCAAUUCUCACCACAAAACAAAGACGCUACAAAUAUUAAAGGCAAACUCUAGAUGAUUAAAAUAUUUUUCCAAAAAACAGAUGCAACCAGACACAGCAGAUAAUCACAUAUUGCGCAACUACGACUUUGGGCCAAUAUCCUUGAGGGCACAGAUCUGCUCCUCACCCAUUGAAGACAUGACAGUCAAAACCAAGUCCUUCCCCUCAGCAAAACCGUCCUUGAGCUGCAUUCACGAACGGACAGUGUAAGUACGUGAAGGAAAAAAUUCUAGAAAUAUCUAGGACCAUUACAGCACACGACCAAAAAGUCACAAACAUGCACAUAGCAAAAGUGACCAAAUAAACAUAGUACUCAAAAGCAGAUGAAACCGAACACGGAGAAUAAUCAGAUUAUCUAAAUAGUGUAUCCUCAACAACAAAAUGGAGAUUAAACAUCAAACUAAGAGCAAGGAAAUAAAAGGGUUAACAAUUGACCUGGGUCAGCAGAGUCUCAUCGGUUGGGAGCCUCAGAUCAUCCUUGGUGUUCCCAUUUUCAGUCAGCAAACUCACCUGAAAAAUUAAGUUUAGGCAGUAAGAGAACAUAUGCACACAGCCUUAGUCGAGGAAAUGAAACAAACGAAAAAGAUAGGGCUCAAACAUACAAAUCCAUCCUCAGAAAUAUCAAUCAACUGAUAGUCGGUACGGUUGACAUGGGGAACCUGUAAAAGCAGAGAACACAUAAACACCUACUCUCCAACAUAGAGAGAGAUUAAAAAACAAUUAACAGACAACCGGAAAAGAAAAAAGGUUCAUACAUCAGAGUUAUGAGAAGAGGGGACAAUAUCUUCCAACUUCUUUCCACUGAAGAUAUCAAUUCCAACAAAGUGGCACUUAGCAUGACCGUGCUUUCCAGUCUUGGAGGUGGAGACUUCCACAACCUGUUAAAUUAAAUGUUGAGCAAUGUUACGAAAAUUUAAAUCUAAGUAAUCGUCUCAAUUAACAAAACAAGUAUCAUCACUUGAAGCAAUAACUAAAACUAAACUAAAACCAUUUGCCACAUCCUAUCACCAAUAUUAAGUAAAAUAGACUACACUUGGUAUAUAUCUAAAAGCUAAAGGCCAGUCCUUAAAGUUUACUAAACUCUUAACAAUAUUUAUUCUUACAAGUGAUUAAAAUUGAGAUUAUUCACAUUGACCUCCAAUCAAAAGGACUAAAAUGUCUUCAAAACAAACGAGCAAAUUACACAACAAUUUGCACUAAACAAAGUAGCAUAAUUCAAAGACAUACGGAUUUUAUAGCAAAAAAGAAAAAAAAAAUUAACAUAUUUUCAGGAAAAUCUAGCUACGAAUAAACGAUUACGCAUCAGGAUUAUCAUACCUAAUUUUAUCUAUAAUUGGAAGCAAAGAAAUAAUUUUUUUCUCGAGAAAAUAUAGGAUUCGGAGAAAACAAAAAGAGAUAAAAGCCAAUUAAAAUAAAAAAAGUAAUAGAAAAGAAACCUUGCAGGGACGGCCUUUGAUGACGAUGUAGCCAUUCUUACGGAUGGUACCAGCUUGCUGCGGGUAAGUCUUGGAGGCUCCGGCAUCGGCCUUUGACUCGAAGUGAUGCUCCUCGUCCGACAUCGUUUUAAGCACUGACUGAUUCCGACUCGGCCGAUUUACUGAGCGAGAUUUUGAGAGAGGCUGGGGGGCGACCGAGCGAGGGAGAGACGGAGGAGGCAAUUA